Long non-coding RNA from Anopheles stephensi (Asian malaria mosquito), 1379 nucleotides. RefSeq lists it as uncharacterized. The record is from RefSeq and is a predicted model, not a curated record. The transcript is spliced from 2 exons. NCBI's taxonomy places the organism in Eukaryota, Metazoa, Arthropoda, Insecta, Diptera, Culicidae.
AAGUCGAUCGAUGAAUGAUGAUAAUGAUGAUGAUGGGAUGGGAGCCCAUAAAGAAGGCUCCAAUCUAGGUUCUUCCACUACUACAGCGCCUACCGGUCAUGACGAUUUGACGAUAAGCAUGUGGAGUGCUGGUGGCCGCGUUACUGGUUGUGCAUUUCAUGACGCCUAACAACAAUGACGGCCAGUAAGCAACGAACAGAAAAGUGCGAAACGGAUCUUCGGACCGUAAUCGGAGGUUCUCUCUCUCUCUCCUCGCAUGACCGCGGCGCACGUCAUCGCUUCCGGUUUUUGAAGGAUUUAGGUUGUCAAAAAAGUCAUGACGCACUUUUCGCAGGUUAAUGGACAACGUCAAGGGUGGCAGAUGGGGAAGGUGGAAGGAAGGAACCGAGUGUGCAAAUUCACUGUUGAUCCGCGGGAGUGGAACAACGCGCAAGAACUUUGUGAGGUUUUGUGUUAGAAGAAGAGAAUUGCAGAAGCGAUUAAUCAUGGCGUAAUUUUGGUUUUGCUUACGCUUUUAUUUACUUUUUGCAUGAAACAUCGUAUUGUGUUACGGGGGGAGGGGUUUCAAUCUUUAGCUUUUGGUUGGCUCAUUUUUUACUUGGGCUGUAGCGAAGAAGCGAGAACGAAACAGGCAAGCAGCUUCUUUGUGUCACGUAAAACAAUUGUCAUUUUUAAUGGAUUUCUAUUAAUAACUUCAAGUAGCGUUUGUUCCAGAUGAACUAUUUUAGGGAUGCUUUCUAGCAGGAUCUAACAAAAAAUCCUAAACCAAAUCCCAUCCCUCUUCCGUCAUCGGUCCAGAGCGUUUGAUUGAGCGCGGGUCAAUUAAUUGCCGACAGACGUCACACAGCAAAGCACCAUCGUGACCAAGCACAUUACGCCUGGACACAAGCAGUGUUUUGAGGUAACCUUAACUGCCCGCCGCGCACUGUAUCCGCAUUCCCUUUGCGCUAAUGAACCGUCGUCGUCGUCGAAAUGUGAUUAUUUUAUUCCCGUUAAUUCAACCGCCCGCAAUGUGCAAUUUUACACUCAUCGUGCAACGGAAGGUGUUUUUCUACGCUGGCAAAUCCUCAUAUAACCCCGAGUCUAGUCGAGGAUAUGGAUAGUUGUGUUUUGCUGCGUUGUCAGUGUAGAUAUUUUCCAUUACUCACGCGGGGGAUCCCCGCGGACAGUUUUCGGUACACAGCACCAUACGGUUUUUUGUUUUGCGGCGCAAUGUGAAAAUGGUGUCAAGUUUCGUAGAAUUGUAAACAGAAAAACCGAUGAGAAAAUGCAGCUAAUAUCCGGCAGUAGAGGUGGCACGAUUGCACCACCAGAACCGUCGACCGCAGCGAAGAUGUUAAACGCGUUCACAAACAAACAAAAAAAAAAAAAACGACGAC